Molecule: ribosomal RNA, 200 nt
Filed under: uncultured bacterium
Lineage: Bacteria
Description: partial 16S ribosomal RNA
Rfam family: Bacterial small subunit ribosomal RNA
Source: RNAcentral
GCGUGCAACUCGCCUGCAUGAAGUCGGAAUUGCUAGUAAUCGCGGAUCAGCAUGCCGCGGUGAAUACGUUCUCGGGCCUUGUACACACCGCCCGUCACACCAUGAGAGUCGGGAACACCCGAAGUCCGUAGCCUAACCGCGAAGGGGGGGCGCGGCCGAAGGUGGGUUCGAUAAUUGGGGUGAAGUCGUAACAAGGUAGC